CACCCUUUUCCUUCCCCACCUUAUCCUUUUCCUCUCUUUCAUGCCUUAGAGUUUAUUAACCCGUGCAUAAUUUAUAAUUUAGAAAUAAUUAUAAAUCCCUUAGAAGUUGGAAAUUGUCAUUUUUACUAAGUGUAUCAAAUUGUGAGCUGUUAAGAUUGUUUGAAGCUUCCUGAGAUGGUGUUGGCUCUAACUCUUUGCCUUCCUCUCCCUCAUUUCCAGCCAAUUAUAAAAACCAAACCAAACAAACAAACAAAACAAUAAAAGGAUGUGCAGGAGAUUGCUGUCUUAUCUCUUUGGUUCAAGUAUGGCAGGGAGAAAAGAGAAGAUGCUGCCAAACCACCUUCCUCUGUUUUCAAGCUGCGCAUAUUUUGAGAUGUCAACAAUAGCAUUUGACUUGAGGACAACUCCCUAGGUGCCUAAAAAAUUGCCUGUGGGCCUAAAGAAUUCCCAAAUCGUCACAACAUUCACUCCCCUUGUGAUGACUGGGCUCCCUUUGACUACGCAGGCAAGAGGGAAGCUCUGACAGUGCACGGGUGGGCAGGCAGCCCUCUGGCAUUCAGAAGAAAACAGUAAUCUCAAGAACUGGAUGUACAGAACAUGCAGACUCUUCGGGACCAAUAGGGCUUGCAUCUCUGCUCCCAUGCCUGCACAUCCAGGUAAACUGAGGAACCAGCAAAACCCCAAAACAAAAUCCCUAUUAAAAACAAGUGGACAAGUCCACAAGCUGCUUCACUUCUCAUUUUGCAACUCUCCAUCUCAUGUAUUUUCUUUCAUACCUUACAUACAUUUAGUACUUCAUCUGAUCUCUUCCGACUUCAUACAAAGAUUUAGGGUUUUCCUUCUGAAAACAUUGGAACAUCAUUCAGAAAAAAAAGAAAGAAAGAAAGAGAGAAAAAGAGAAAGAGAGAGAGAAAGAGAGAGAGAGAGAGAGAAAGA
This is a long non-coding RNA of Cygnus olor (mute swan), 936 nucleotides long. RefSeq lists it as uncharacterized. The transcript has 2 exons. NCBI's taxonomy places the organism in Eukaryota, Metazoa, Chordata, Aves, Anseriformes, Anatidae. The record is from RefSeq and is a predicted model, not a curated record.